This 391-nucleotide unclassified non-coding RNA is filed under the name soil metagenome. RNAcentral describes it as "partial contains 5.8S ribosomal RNA, internal transcribed spacer 2, and large subunit ribosomal RNA". The stretch from base 1 to 122 matches the Rfam family "5.8S ribosomal RNA", at positions 35 to 154 of the family's 154-position model. The record is from RNAcentral.
GAUGAAGAACGUAGCGAAAUGCGAUACUUGGUGUGAAUUGCAGAAUCCCGUGAACCAUCGAGUCUUUGAACGCAAGUUGCGCCCGAAGCCAUUAGGCCGAGGGCACGCCUGCCUGGGCGUCACACGUCGUUGCCCCCCCAUCUACUCCUUCGGGAUUGCGGGGGGCGGAUGAUGGCCUCCCGUGCGCCUCGUCGCGCGGUUGGCAUAAAUGCCAAGUCCUCGGCGACGCACGCCACGACAAUCGGUGGUUGCGAAACCUCGGUUGCCCGUCGUGUGCGGUCGUCGCGCAUCGAGGGCUCGAAAAAAUUGUCGGGCUCCGGCUCGGCUUUCAACGCGACCCCAGGUCAGGCGGGGUUAUCCGCUGAAUUUAAGCAUAUCAAUAAGCGGAGGA